Long non-coding RNA from Fundulus heteroclitus (mummichog), 499 nucleotides. RefSeq lists it as uncharacterized. The transcript has 3 exons. The record is from RefSeq and is a predicted model, not a curated record. NCBI's taxonomy places the organism in Eukaryota, Metazoa, Chordata, Actinopteri, Cyprinodontiformes, Fundulidae.
UACACAUUGGCAGCUCGUUCGGCUGUGUGCUGCUGUACUUUAAGAACACUGCUCUGACAGCUGGAGGACGCCAUAUUGUUAAUCUUGUUUGGUCGCCUUGCGCUCUGGACUCCGUUCCCAGCAUUACCAGCGUUCUGUCGUUCCAAGACGAGCAGCCCGACUCGGAUCCCUCUGUGUCCUGCUCCUACGAUUCCCAUGUUCAAGCAAUAACCUGACGCUCCCUUGGUCUUACUAAGCCGGGCUGAGGAUUCCUAUCGGAUCGCCUUGGUUCCUCCAGCUGUCAUCAGACCACCCACCAGGCUACCGCUGCUCGCACCCCACCUUCAUGGAUACCACCAGCCCGCUCACCGGCCGCUCUAUCACCUGUUGCCAUCUCGGAGGUCUGUUGCUCCACUCCACUUCCCCUGGCAAGGUUGCAGUGCACGGCGAUCGCUCAAGCUGAUCCUCUCGUCUUUUCCUCAGCACUACUUGCUGAAGGUUAUCUGUGCAGCCAGCGCCU